AAGUCGAGGGGUAGAAUGUCUUCGGAUGUUUGAGACCGGCGCACGGGUGCGUAACGCGUAUGCAACCUACCUCUUACUGGGGAAUAGCCCGGAGAAAUUCGGAUUAAUGCCCCAUAUGCUCGUACGACCUCAUGGUCGAGCGAGGAAAGCUCCGGCGGUAAGAGAUGGGCAUGCGUCCUAUUAGCUUGUUGGUGAGGUAACGGCUCACCAAGGCUACGAUAGGUAGGGGGCCUGAGAGGGUGACCCCCCACACUGGUACUGAGACACGGACCAGACUCC
Molecule: ribosomal RNA, 279 nt
Filed under: unidentified marine bacterioplankton
Lineage: Bacteria
Also listed under: 1 other name
Description: partial 16S ribosomal RNA
Rfam family: Bacterial small subunit ribosomal RNA
Source: RNAcentral